Molecule: unclassified non-coding RNA, 1437 nt
Filed under: uncultured Helotiales
Lineage: Eukaryota; Fungi; Ascomycota; Leotiomycetes; Helotiales
Description: sequence contains 18S rRNA gene, ITS1, 5.8S rRNA gene, ITS2, 28S rRNA gene
Rfam family: Eukaryotic large subunit ribosomal RNA (bases 495-1437)
Source: RNAcentral
GGAGGGAUCAUUACAGAGUUCAUGCCCUCCUGGGUAGAUCUCCCACCCUUGCGUAUUUAUACCUUUGUUGCUUUGGCAGGCCGCCUGGGCUCGCGCCUGGCCACCGGCUCCCGGGCUGGUGCGUGCCUGCCAGAGGAUCUCCAAACUCUAGUUAUCAGUGUUGUCUGAGUACUAUACAAUAGUUAAAACUUUCAACAACGGAUCUCUUGGUUCUGGCAUCGAUGAAGAACGCAGCGAAAUGCGAUAAGUAAUGUGAAUUGCAGAAUUCAGUGAAUCAUCGAAUCUUUGAACGCACAUUGCGCCCUUUGGUAUUCCGAGGGGCAUGCCUGUUCGAGCGUCAUUUCAACCCUCAAGCUCUGCUUGGUAUUGGGCCCUGCUGCGAUGGCAGGCCUUAAAAUCAGUGGCGGUGCCGUCUUGGCUCCAAGCGUAGUACAUCUCUCGCUCUGGAGGCCGGGUGGUGUCCUGCCAGAUAACCCCCAUUAUCUUUCUAUGGUUGACCUCGGAUCAGGUAGGGAUACCCGCUGAACUUAAGCAUAUCAAUAAGCGGAGGAAAAGAAACCAACAGGGAUUGCCUCAGUAACGGCGAGUGAAGCGGCAACAGCUCAAAUUUGAAAUCUGGCUCCUUCGGAGUCCGAGUUGUAAUUUGUAGAAGAUGCUUCGAGUGUGGUUCCGGUCUAAGUUCCUUGGAACAGGACGUCACAGAGGGUGAGAAUCCCGUACGUGGCUGGAGGCCUACGCUCAUGUGAAGCUCUUUCGACGAGUCGAGUUGUUUGGGAAUGCAGCUCUAAAUGGGUGGUAAAUUUCAUCUAAAGCUAAAUAUUGGCCAGAGACCGAUAGCGCACAAGUAGAGUGAUCGAAAGAUGAAAAGCACUUUGGAAAGAGAGUUAAAUAGUACGUGAAAUUGUUGAAAGGGAAGCUCUUGCAACCAGACUUGCGCGUCGUUAAUCAUCUGGUGUUCUCACCGGUGCGCUUGGCGACGCUCAGGCCAGCAUCAGUUUUGGUGGUUGGAUAAAGGCCCUGGGAAUGUGGCUCUCUCCGGGGAGUGUUAUAGCCCAGGGUGCAAUGCAGCCUACCGAGACUGAGGACCGCGCUUCGGCUAGGAUGCUGGCGUAAUGGUUGUAAGCGACCCGUCUUGAAACACGGACCAAGGAGUCUAACAUCUAUGCGAGUGUUUGGGUGUCAAACCCAUGCGCGUAAUGAAAGUGAACGGAGGUGAGAGCCCUUAAGGGUGCAUCAUCGACCGAUCCUGAUGUCUUCGGAUGGAUUUGAGUAAGAGCAUAGCUGUUGGGACCCGAAAGAUGGUGAACUAUGCCUGAAUAGGGUGAAGCCAGAGGAAACUCUGGUGGAGGCUCGCAGCGGUUCUGACGUGCAAAUCGAUCGUCAAAUUUGGGUAUAGGGGCGAAAGACUAAUCGAACCAUCUAGUAGCUGGUUCCUGC